GGCUCCUUAGUUCAGUGGUAGAAUGUCAGUUUUGUAACCUGAGGACGUUGGUUCGAGUCCGACAGGAGCCUCA
This 73-nucleotide transfer RNA is filed under the name Crassvirales sp. Its description in RNAcentral is "tRNA-Thr". It matches the Rfam family "tRNA". From Rfam's summary of the family: Transfer RNA (tRNA) molecules are approximately 80 nucleotides in length. Their secondary structure includes four short double-helical elements and three loops (D, anti-codon, and T loops). Lineage: Duplodnaviria; Heunggongvirae; Uroviricota; Caudoviricetes; Crassvirales. The record is from RNAcentral.